This is a long non-coding RNA of Orcinus orca (killer whale), 442 nucleotides long. RefSeq lists it as uncharacterized. Lineage: Eukaryota; Metazoa; Chordata; Mammalia; Artiodactyla; Delphinidae. The transcript has 2 exons. The record is from RefSeq and is a predicted model, not a curated record.
GAGAUCGACCCGCCGCGGGAGGAGGCACUCACCUGAGUAGAGCCCGCGCCGGACGGUCCAGGCUCAGAGAAAACGCGGAAGCAGGGACAGCCCUCUUCUACUACACAUCCUCCUUCAUCAGCCAGUUCAGUUUCCUCUGUGACACACAGUGCCCAUGGAUGAGGAAACAUCGGCCACGUGUGCUCUGCUCUAUACAGGAGAAUCCAGAUUGUCUCAGACACAGGGAGUCCAAUAUGCUGCUUCCUGUGUCUGCCCUCAGGUUCUGGAGAACUGUCCCCGUGGGGCUCCUGCUUACCUCACAUGAUCCGUCCCGCUCUUCUGAACCCAAGACCUGGGGCCUCUGCGGUAAAUUCACAUCAGCAAGCAUGUCCUUUCUGGGCUUCAAUUCUUGGUCUCUUUUGCUGACAGCUCCACUCUAUCCAGGAGCCUGGAGCCGGGUGGG